This 29737-nucleotide long non-coding RNA is filed under the name Medicago truncatula (barrel medic). RNAcentral's name for it is "long non-coding RNA (MTRU_LNC002751)". Lineage: Eukaryota; Viridiplantae; Streptophyta; Magnoliopsida; Fabales; Fabaceae. The record is from RNAcentral.
AGAUUGGAAGCAAAAAUCAUGUGAAGCUUGACCCUAUAUUCGAGCUUCCUCUUUGUAAAGACAUAUCAUCUAGGGACAAAAAUGACGCCAAAUUUUAUAAGGUGAUAAAAAAAAAAAAAUCCAAGAUACGUUAUUUUACUCUCACCUCAAGUAGGGACAAGUUUGGCAUUGUGAAUUCUUGCAAUGGCUUGCUUUGUUUAUCUGAAACAUCUAUCGGAAGCCCUUUAGUGAUUUGCAACCCAGUAACGAGGGAAUUCACAAUACUUCCUGAACUUACUACGACUUCUGACUGGUUUAACCGUGCUCGGGCUCGGGUACAAGCUGGUUUUGGUUUCCAACCCAAAACUAAUGAAUAUAAGGUGAUCAUAAUGUGGAACAAAUAUGUUAGACGAAACAAUCGUUUGGUGUUUGAGCGUGUAGUGCUCGAGAUACACACGCUUGGAACACCAUCAUGGAGAAAGGUUGAAGUGGAUCCUCAAAUUUCUUUUUUGAAGCUUUUGAAUCCAACAUGUGUGAAUGGCGCACUUCAUUGGAUUAUAUUUGAAACGGGGCAACAAAAGUCAAUAUUGUGUUUCAAUUUUGAAAGUGAGAGGUUGCAGUCGUUUCCUUCUCCUCCACAUGUGUUUGGAAAUCAUGAUAAUGGAUUUCCCCUUAGCAUGCCUAUUAGAUUGGGAGAAUUGAAGGGAUUUCUUUACAUUUGUCAUAUAUCGUCUCUUGAGAAUGUUACAAUGUGGGUUAUGAAUGAAUAUGGCAUUGGAGAAUCAUGGACUAUUGUUUACAGCAUUGAUACUUCGCUCUUGCUCAUGCCGGGCACUUGUUUGGGCUAUCCUGAUCCGUGGCGUUGUGGUUGUUAUUGGCUGUCUAAACACCACGAACCUGAGAAACAUGAGUUCAAAGUUUUUCGAAUUCAAGGGACAACUUUAGGAGAAGUUGAAGUAAUUGAAUAUAUUCCAAGUCUAAUAUCAUUGAACGAUGUCGUGAAAGGAGACAAUGUUGAAGCGUUGAACACCCACUCAUGGUACGAAUGUAAUAUUUUAUUUUGAUCGAGUAAAUGAAUAUGAUUUUCUUUUAGAAAUUACAAUUUGACUCAUAAGACGAAGAUUCAAUGGGACAUAUGUGAAUUUCUUACGUUGUUGUCUAUGUUUUGAUUUCCAAUUUUGUGAACAACCAUGAUCUAUUUUUGUGUUGUUUUAAUUUGUUAUAAUUUUAGUCCAUUUUCGUUGCCUUUAAUUACAUAUUAGCUUUAACAAUUGUAAAAAUACAUGUUGACUCAAUUAUUUGUUGGAAAAUGUUGUCAACACUCGCUCGUUUCAACACAUUCUUUCUAACACCAAUUCUCUUAUUCUGUUAAAUGCACAUGGGUCCCACCACUAUAUGCGAGACUUGUUUUCAAAGUGGUAGGUCCUAUAUGUAUUUCACCAAUAAGAGAGUGUAUGUUAGAAAGAGUGUUAAAAUGAGUGUUGUUGACAUUACUCCUAUUUAUUAAUAAUUACAUCUUAUAAAUUUCUCUUAGAAAUGUAACUUGGUCUAACACAACUCUACAAAACCGGCUUAAGAUGUUAGAAUUGUUUUCACAUAUAAACACUUGUUGAGACCAUCUUUUAUCCGAUGUAGAACUCUUUAGCAUAUUCCUUUAUACUUUUUGGGUUGAUGGACGAGUAGGAAAUGGAUAGUUCUUGUAAUGUUGGUUUUUGGAUCUUCCUUGUUUGUUUAGUUGUGGAUAGUUUCUCAAGACUAUUUUAUCCCCUACAAAUUGUAGUUAUAGCAAAUUUUACUUAACCAUUGUUCCUUAAUUGUUUUAAUUUUUUGUAGGUGGGAAAACGAUAUUACAUGUGGAGAAAAUGAAGUUCUUUCCAUAUCUCAACAUAUUGUUUGAGAGUUGGAAAGUACACGUUCUUCACCUGCACUUCUGGUGAAGAAUUUGGUGAAGAGCCUGCUUCCUAAUAAGAGUACGUUUGUUUUCGCAUUGGAAGCCUUUGAUGAAUAAUAUAUGAAUUUCUAUACAACAGGGAGGGUUAAAAGAGAAACUCUUCUAUAGGCACAACCACAAAUGAUAAAUAUUUAUUUAAACACGCCCACAUCAAAUAUGCAAAAGUUAAAAGAGAAUAAAACUAAAUGAUGUUGAUUGAGGUGAUCUAAUUAUUUUUGUUUUAAAAUUUUCCAUUUGAUGUGAGUGCGUCCAAAUAUUUAUCAUUUGUGCUUGUGUUCAUAGAAGAGUUUCCCGGUGGUAAGAGAUAAAAUUCCUGUUCUAUCUUACCAUUCUUUUAAUUAUUACAAUUGUGUUUAACUACUGUUUGGGUUAAAUAAGUAAAUGGUCCCCCUAAAUAUAUCAACAUUUGAUUUUAGUCCUCCAAAAUUUUCGAUCCAUGAAAUUAGUUCAUACUUUUCUUUUUUGUCAACUCAUGUAUUCAUGUUUUUUAAUGAAAUUUUCUAGAAAUGGAUUUUUCAAAAAAAAAAAAAAGUUUUUGGCAAAACAUAAAUUUAAUAUGAAUUUUUAUGUUUUUGGUGCUAAAACAUUUAUAACACUCAUGUUUUGUUAAAAAAAUCUAAUUUUUUUUGGAAAAUAUUAUCAUACUUUUUCACACAUUUCUGGAAAAUUUCAUGAAGGUUAAACAUGAAUUGACUAAAAAGUAGGUGAAAAUUUUUGGAGGACCAAAAGCAUAGGAAAUAUUUUAAAAGAACUAAAAUCAAAUGUUGGUUUAUAUAGGAGACCAUUUACUUAUUUAACCCUAACUAUUUUGAUGCAUAGUUUGAAGUUAAUUGUUGGCUCCGUAGAUAAUUACAAAGUUUGGAUGCAAAUAAAUUAAUAAUUCUUGUGUGACUAUUUUCUUCGAGAAAAUAAGUAAUUCUACUCUAAAACAAAACACAUAAUUUGAUUUCCUAUUUUUGUACAUUUUGGAAGGAAGCAAUAAAAAUUAUAUUGGAUACAAUUAAGUUGGUCAAUAUGCUGAAGGCUGGAUAUUGUUACUCAAAAUUUUGUUUAAAUUGACAGGAAAAUUUGGAAAUACAGAAGGCUGGGUAUGUUAUUAAAACGAAGUCAAUCAAUAUGCUGAAGAGAAUUUUUUGAGCUGGAGGAAACAUCCGCAAAGUUUCGGAGCCGUGGAGCUGCAUCAAAGAAUUUUUUUUGUAUGCUUUUGUUAAGUAAUUUUAAACCAAAUAAGGACUGAAUUCUUUGAUGGAUUGGUUACAUGAUGUUGUAUGCUUUUAAAGUUUGUUUUGAACUGCGAUGUAUUGCUGGUUCCUAAUAUGUUUUGUUUGAGUUAAUGUUGAACUCAGUAUACUUCUGUUUUGAACUGUGAUGAAUUGCUGGUUUCUAAUAUGCUUUGUUUGAGUCAACAGAGUUACACAUUUCAAAAUUUCAUAAUCAAUAAGAAUAAUAGCUCGGACUUUCUUCCCUUAACAUAUUAAUAAGAGAGUGUUGGGACAUUGGUAUGAAGUUGAAAGAAAAUUGAAUGGUUGGGAAGAUUAAACACCAAGUCAUGAGAUUUUAACAUAAUGUUGCGUGAAUUAAAAAUCUUUUUAAUUUUUAAAUACUUGAUAUUGAUAAAAUAAUAGUAAUUAUUAUUAUUUUUUAUUCAUGAUGUCACUUUCCAUAACUUUAAUUUAGUUUAUUUUGGUUGUGAUCAAGAUUGAGAAUUUAACUAAGUUUUCUAUUUUUUCUUCAUUCACUUCCAAUUACUUUGUAUCUUCCAUUUUACUGGUUAGUUUCUUUCACAAGUUUAACUAAAUUUGAUUACAAAAUUUCUAUAUAAAUAAAUGACUAUAAUGAGUCAUAAAUCACAUCAAAAUUGUUAAAAAUAAAUAAAUAAAUAAAUCACAUCAAAACAUGAGUUGUCGAAAACUUUUUCUCUCUUCUCCCUCCAACUUGUGUUAACAAGUUAUUCCUUUAUAAAUUAAACAUGACUUUUACUGGUGUUAAAAUCAGUCUUCAGUAUCCCCGUGAGCUUAGCUCAGUUGGUAGGGAUAUUGUAUAUUAUAUGCAUGAGGCGGGGUUCGAACCCCGCACACUUCAUUUCUCCACAAUUAAAUUGUGUGAGCUCUAGCCACUAGGCUACUUGACCAAAAAGAAUAAUAAUUCAGUCUUCAGUCUUUAGGUUUGUAUAUGUGCUUUAGUAAGUUCAAGCUUAAAAUUUGACUGUUUUCAUGAGAGGAAAUAAUUAAAUAUGAGAAGGGCAUUAAAUUGUGUGUAUUAAAGUAUGAUUAAAUUGUGGUUUGUUUGUGAUUUGUUCAGUUUGUAUGCCUUCACCUCUAAUAGUUUAAUUUUCUUCAUGAUAGCAAGUGCAUAUGUAAUGGAAAGGAUAUGAAUACAACUAUAUGAUUCAAAUUUAAAGAUAUUAGAAGCCAGAAACACAUGUCAUAUUAUGAUGAUUCAAAUUAAAUUAAAUUUCUCUAUUUCCAAAUUCAUUCGUGCUUCUGUGUACGAUUUCUAAAGCUGAACCACUUAUGCAUCAUCUAUAACAGCGACUAUUUUUUUAUAAUCAAAAGAUACACCUCAAUUAGCAUCAACAUUUAAGGUUUUUUCCAUUAAUAAUAAAACAAUUCAAACACCUCAAAAUAAGUUACUUAUAUCUUAUAUUAUAAUGUCUCAACCCUUUUAUUUUUAAGAAAUGUCUCAACCUUUGCUAAAAAAAAAAAAAAAAAAAUAUCAACCCUUUAAUCACUAGUUUACACAUUUUGUGAUAAAAACUUUAAUUGAUAUAUAUUGAUUUAUAAAUAAUAAUUUACUCGAAUAGUAAAUAGUAAAUCACACCCAUAAGGGUCCGUUUGGUUCGAGAAUUAGGAGGGGACGGGAGGGGAGGGAUUUUUACGGAGGGGAGAUAUUUUUAAUUAAAAGUGUGUUUGGUUCACAAGGGGAGGGGAGGGAUUUUAACAGUAUUUUACCGUUUUACCCUUAAACUUAAUUAAAUAAAAGAAACUGUUUGUUUUUACGAUUUCAGAAACUGACAAAGACAAGCACACAUCUAAGCCGCUAUUUUAUCUUAAACUGGCUCAUGUAUUUUGCUCCAAGCAUCAUAUUGUUUUUUUUUUUUGACUUUUUUUAUCGGAGCAAUUCUUUGUAAUAUUUUUUUUAUAAGAGCAAUUCUUUGUAAUCCUUGCAUUUUUUUCCAAUUACUUUCGUAAAAAAUAGCAUAGCUCUUAAAUAUAGGACAUAAGAAUUUUCAAAAUCAUGGAUAGUGCUUAUUAAUUAACAAUUGUAAGACAAAUGAAAUUUGUUGCAUAUGAACAAAUAAGACACAUGAAAGUGACUAUGACUACUGUUAAUAUUUUAUUAAUAUAAAAAUGUACCUUAAAAUAUGGGUAGAAUCUAGUGCUACUAGAAAUUUCCAAGGGGAUCGUUGAUCCAUCAGGUUGUACAAUAAACUUUUCUUCCAAUUCAAGAAUAGCUUUCAAAACUUGAUGGAGAUGACGGCUAAUUGUCUCACCCGAACGACGAAACCAAAAGUUGACUUCACGAUUUUUAGCAUUAUGGGUUAGUAUGUAAAGUGAUUUUGCAACUUGUUCUUCCACACUUGACCAUCUUGUAGGUCGUAAGCCCCCUUCUCUUUCUAACAUAUCGCAUAACUUUAAAAAAGUUUGAGGACCCAUUCUUAUUAUAUUUCUACUAGUUUCACUAUUUUUAAGUCGAUACAUUACUUCUUCACGCACCCUUUCUCUCGGAGAGCUCAUACUAUAACUUUUUUUUUUUUUACGAGAUUCAAAUAUAACAAAAGACAACAACACACAUAAGCUGAGCUAUAGCUCUUCGGCGCAAAUCAAACCAUCUAUUGAUAGCAAUUUCCUGAUCUUGAUGAUCCAUCUAAUCGCAUAAAAUUAAUUUCUAGAUUAUAUAACUCUUAUACUACAAUUACAUAUAGACAUGUAAUAAACUACAACAAACAUAUUUAUAUAUAAACGAGGCCAUGAUCAAUAUAUGGAAGAAAAAAAAAUGAAACAAAGCAUAUAGAAAGAAAAGCAGAAUGUAAAAAAGAAAAAAAAAUCAUGAUUAAUGUAUAGAUAUAUGGAAGAUAAAAAAAAUGAAACAAAGCAUAUAGAUUAAUGUACAGAAAAAUAAAGCCAAGAUUUUACACAACAAGACAUGUAGGAUCGGUGAAUUAACAGUGAAAAAAAACACUACUAGGUUGUGAUUAUCCUAUUUUAGCUAGAAGUGAAGAUUUGCAUUUUAUAUAAGCUGUAUCUGAUACUCCAACAACAAUAAGUAUCAAUAAAAAUAAUGCACAGCUUUGAGGAUGGAUAAUGUAGUGUGCCAACAGGAACAAGUUCAAUAGCCAGCAUCAGCAUGCUUGAGAGAGGUUUUAAGUGGGAACAUGUGAAAUGUAAACAUGUCCUGAGUUUUUACUGUUCGUUUGCCUGUAGGCUGUAGCUAUUUUAUGCAAAAUUUUAUUUGUAUAUUUCUGUUCUCAUGGUAAAUUAUUUUAUUUUUUUAAAACUAUGUGCGUUUUUAGUGAAUUUCAUUUUCAAUUUGAUUCAAUGAUUACGAGUUAUAUUCAGCUAAUCCGAUAAUAGUAAGGUUGUGUAGUGAAAAAAAAUUCUGGUCAAGAUUUUACACAACAAAACAUGGAUAGGUGAAUUAACUGUGAAAAAAAAAACAAGCAACAACAAGUAUAAUAAUCUGAAUUAAAAUAAAAUAAUAAUAAUAAUAAUAAAACUUCAACGAUUUCAUCAAAAAAAAAAAUGACUUCAACGAUUUUAAAAGUGCAAAAAAAACAAUACUCUCAAAUGAAUGGAUCAAUACCAUAAGAAAAAACACACUAUGAAACAAACAAGUCACCGUAAGGAUAAAGCAACAAUUUAAACAAUAAAGUUCCAACAACGAUAACGAUUAAACAAGAAUAAUAAAGUAGCGAAUCAAUAACGAUGUAAUUAAUAAUACUACGAUAUAGACAAUGAGAUGAUGAAAUUACUCACAAUUCACUUUGGAGGAAGCCUCAAGCAGUCGUUGACAACAACAAAGUAGUAGUAAGAGCGGUUUGUACAUCUAACAAAUAAGAGUGGUAGAUUAUAUAAUAAUAAAAAUUGUUACAAGGAAAAUAUAACAAAAUAAUAAUAAUAAUUGUUACAAGAAUAAGAUAACCUAAUAAUAAUAAUAAGAUUGUUAUAAAAAUAAUAUAAUCUAAUAAUAAUAAAAGUUGUUACAAGGUUAAUAUUGAGAUUUGAAAUUAAUUUAAGGAUAAUUAUGGCAAUGCAAUAAAAUUUUAAAGAGAUUUGCUCCCCUCCCCUCCCCUUCCCUUCCCUUCCCUUCCCUUCUAAAAAUUGAACCAAACACUUCAAAUUAAAAAUCUCCCCUCCCCUUCCCUCCAAAACUCUCGAACCAAACGGACCCUAAGUUACACAGGUCGAAGAUAACUUAUCACUUUCUAUUACAGUCGAUAAGACCCGUGCUGUAAUAAGGGUCAAAAGUCUAGUUUAACUUUAGGCAAAUUCAACGGUACACCCACUAUAUUUGAGUGUACCGAUACACUCACUUUUUAAAUUCAUAGUUAAAUGAGUUGUUUUUUGAAAAAAUAUAUUAUUUUUUUAUCAUUUAUAAUUAUAAUAACUAAAUUUUAUUCAUCAAAAAUGUCAACGAAAUAAUUUUUUAUUUUUUAAAAUUUUUAUCACUCAUAAUUGAGAACAUUCAUUAUUUUUUACGAUAAUAUGUAAAAAAAAAAAAAGUUAUUAUGAUUCUUAUAAACAAUUAAAUGAUGUUUUUUCUUAUGAAAUGUUGUUUUAUAAAAUAUAAAUAUUGACAAAUAGCUAUUUAAUACAUAAAAAAUGAUCGUUCAUUUAUAAAAUUAAGAAGCAUGAGUACCGAUACACCUCAUUUUGUGAGUGUACCGUAGAAGUUCCCUUAACUUUAUUCCACACACACCAUAUUUAUUUCAAAGUUAAUUUUCUCUCUCUUCACCAAAGAAAUCUGGAAAACUCUCAUUCUCAAACAAACCCUAGCCGCCGCCGCCACCCUCCUUCAGUGUGUCUCCGGCAGUCGUUACAUUGCUCCACCAUCUUCAUCCUCUCCUUUUCAUCUGUAAUUAUACUCUAUCAAAUUUCCCUACGACCAUCUUUUCGGCUAGAUCUUGACAUCCACGUACAAGCUUUUGAAAAUCCAUCACCAUAAAAAGAGUCCCCUCCAUCUUCUCUACAAAACCCAUUUAAAAAUAUCAGGAACGGACAACCUUCGCCGGUGACCACCACGCCGGAGCUUGCAACCACCGCGCCGGGAAAGAGCUUACGUGUUUUCAUCCCGAUCUGGGUCAGAAUUUUUACACAAACACUUAAAACUGGGCUGUUGUCUUCAUCAAGGUCAAGUUCUUUACAUAUUUUGUUUCCAUUACAUGCAACAACAACAAUACAAAUAUGAAAUUGGAUGUGAUUUUUUUUGUAGAUGAAUCUUUUCCGGUUUUGACCGGUUCUUGUAUUUAGCAUUUUUUGACACUGAUCGGACCGGACGUAGAUCCGGUUUCCGGUUCUUGUAUUUAGCAUUUUUUGACACUGAUCGGACCGGACGUAGAUCCGGUUUCCGGUUCAACCGGUUCUGUCCGGUUUUAAUAACCUUGAACCCAACUUAGGUUUUGCUUAUAAAUAAAUAAAAAAAUGAUGCAACUUACAAUCGCCCCUUCAAUUUAUUUAAAGACUAAUACCUCAAAUUCGUCCUUGAAUUUUAAAAAAUCGGUCAAUUUCGUCCCUGAAUUUUGCGAAAUAUCAAAUUAGUUCCUGAAUUUACAAAAUGUCAAUCAAAUCAGUCCCUCCGUUAAGUUGGUCUGUUAACGGAGGUGACGUGUAACGUUAACCUCUGACAAAGCUUACCACUUCAGAUGCCACGCAAGCAGGAACCAAACUGAUUGAUUUACGCAAAAACCCUAAUUUUUUUGAUUAAAUUUGAAAUUCAUAGAUCAAGUGGUCUGCCUUGUAGAAUCGGUGUUCAGAAUUGAUGGGUGGUGCGCGAAUGGGCAAAAUCAACUGCAACAACCGGUAUUCAUCUUCAAGCUCUAGGUGUAUUUUGGAGGACAAGGUUGAUGGAUAAAGUUGAUUGUGUAAGAAGUGAGCUUAGGUUGAUUAAGAUAUUGAUAUGAAUAUUUUGUUUGAUUGAGUUGUUUAAAAUGAUAUUGUAAUGUGCCAAGUCCAUGUAAUGUUGUAAUGAAAAUAGAUUGUCAAUGAAUGAACCAAACCUUUAUGUCAAAAUAUUUCAAUGAAAUUGGUCCUUGAAUUAUAUACAUAUCCAUCAUAUCGAUCCUCAAAUUAGUUUAAAUAUCAUCAAAUAGGUCUUUGAAUUUUCACAACAGAUAUCACUGUGAUCCUUGGUGCAUACAUUUGCUGAACAAAGUAAAAAGUAAAAGACAUGCACUUUGAUUAUAAAAAGACAGACAUUUUCAUAUUAUCAUAAGUCAUAUAUUUGAUGUUCAUAAGUCAUUACAUAGCCAAAAGAAUAACAUUAUAUAGCCAUCAAAUCAUUACAUAGCCAAAAGAAUAACAUUAUAUAGCCAUCAAGUCAUCAAAUCAUUUGAUGUUCUUAAGUGAUUACAUAUCCAAAAAAGCGUAAACUAAACAAGUCCAAAAAACAUUAAUUAAACUAGUCCAAAAACAUAAUUUAAACAUGCAUCAAUGCUAUAGAAAUCCUGGAGUUGGGAUAAACUCCAUGUAUUAGGGUUGAGUAGAAGCGGAUGACCCGUAAUUUGGAUUUGGAACUCUAAUAACUCCAAGAGCAGUUGGAUCUUGUGGAGCAGGACCCCUCAAUGGUGUUUGUUUAUGCAUGUCAUUUGAAAUCAUUGGUCCUCUCAUGCCAUAUCUCCUUGUACUCAUUAUCUGCAAAUAAAAUCAAUCAUAUGAGCCCUUAAAUUAUAACAAAAUCCAUCAAAUUAGUCCUCAAAUUAUGACAGUAAGUCUCAAAUCGAUCCAAGACAACACAGGUAAUAGAGGGGUAUAAUUGGAAACACAGGAAAAAAAUACUGAAAUGUUAAAUAUCGAAUUUUGACCAUUUCCAUCAAUUUAGUCCUUGUACACGUGGCUGACUUGCUGACACGUGUACAAGACAACAAGCAUGCAAGAAGCCACAUCAUCACUAUUAAUGGACCUUUUGGACGGAGGGACGAAUUUGUUGGACGUCUGUAAAAUUCAGGGACUAAUUUGAUUUUCGAAAAAUUCAGGGACGAAAUUGACCGAUUUUUCAAAAUUCAAGGACGAAUUUGAGGUAUUAGUCUUAUUUAAACCACUGCCAAUCCCAAUCUUUGUUCUACCAGCUGUUUUGCAAUUCUCCAUCGCGACCUAAGGUACUUUCCUCGUUUCUCUAUUACUGUUGCGGUUGAUUUCUUUCUUGUUAAUUGUCAAUAUUUUUACGGUUAGUUUAGGGUUGGAUAUGGGUUGGGCACCAACGAGCCACCGAAUGAAACCAAAGGGCCACAAUCGUCUCCCCGUUCCCGACCGUUUCGAGCCUUGGUUUCGGCGGAUGUCGAUUCCAGCGGGUGUUUUAUAUUGAAUCUGAAUCAACAAUCAACAAGGCUUGAAACAACCAUUGACAAACAGAUAUACAUGACAAGAAGCAUCCAGAUCUUUAAUAGGCGAUUGGGUAAUUACCUGCUCCGCCGAUUCCUCGACCCUGACCAAAAUACUAUACUACCCUCUGUUUUAAUUUUAUAUCUUGGUUUUUUUUUUAUAUAUAUAUAUAUAUAUAUAUAUAUAUAUAUAUAUAUAUAUAUAUAUAUAUAUUUUUAAUAAAAUCAUAUAAACAUAGAACGCUUUUAAAAAUAACUAAAUAUAUGGUUUAUGUCAAUUUAUUGUGUAAAGGGAUUUAAUGGGAUCAUUGAGAUAGGAAAAUAACCUCCUGCUGACUUAGGAGAUGGAGAUGAAAUUUUGUUUAAGUGGAUUGAGGCUUGAGUGGGCUUGGACACUAUAUUACAAAAAAAAAAAAAAAAAAAAAACUAGUCCAAGUUUGGACACUACACCGACAUCCCAGUAGAAUAUAUAUUAAACAGUUUUAAAAAAUUAUCGAAAGUAUUAGGUGCAUUGGUUCAUUUGCUUGAAUACUAUACGGGGAUGGCAGUUCAAAUUCCGACAGGAACAUAUUUUUAGAAUAAAAUAUUAUUAAUGCAAUAGAAAUAUUAAUAAAAACUAUUGGGGAUUGAACCCACACCUGCUAGGUGAUUGCAAGAUUGUCUAUCCGCUGCCCCAACCAUAAGUUAUGUGAAAUAAUAUUCAUACUAUUGAAGAUCUGCCACCCGCUCUUCCCCCACCUAAUUUUGGUUGGCAUGGUUGGCCAAUGGCAGUUUGAAAUUUUUGUCCACCUUUGUAGUUAGUUUUUAAUAAUAUAAAACUUUAUUCAUAAUUUAACUUUAUGUUUAAUUGUAUGUGUUUUGUUCUUCUUACCUUCUCGUUUGGCCUCUAUGAUACUAUCAAACAUGAAUCCUUUUUUGCGUGUUUUGAUUUAUUUAUUUAUUUUCCUUUUAUUCCUUUAUGUAAUAUAGUGUGGCUAUGAAUAGAAAUAAGGAUUCAAUUACCCCCGCAAGUGAUACCAUGCAAAGAUGCAAUAAAGCAAAAGGAGAGGGAAAAGUUGCAUGGCCUACUAUCCGAAGCUGCAAUAAAGUAAAAGGGAAAGGAAAAUUUGAUGAUGCAAGUCAUGAACUUUGCCCUUACUUUGAUAAUUUUCCAUCUCAAUUAACUACCCACAUUCUCCUAAAGCUUCCCAUUAAGUCUCUUCUCAUAUGUAGAUGUGUGUGCAAAAUUUGGAAUACACUUAUAUCAGAACCACAUUUUGCUAAAUUGCAAUUUGAGCGAGCACCAGUUAGUUUCGUGAUUCGAAAUUUAGACAAUAUAGGAGUGUCAAGAAACCUAUACCUUCUUGAGUGUGAAGCUGAAAAGUUUGAGAUUGGAAGCAAAAAUCAUGUGAAGCUUGACCCUAUAUUCGAGCUUCCUCUUUGUAAAGACAUAUCAUCUAGGGACAAAAAUGACGCCAAAUUUUAUAAGGUGAUAAAAAAAAAAAAAUCCAAGAUACGUUAUUUUACUCUCACCUCAAGUAGGGACAAGUUUGGCAUUGUGAAUUCUUGCAAUGGCUUGCUUUGUUUAUCUGAAACAUCUAUCGGAAGCCCUUUAGUGAUUUGCAACCCAGUAACGAGGGAAUUUACAAUACUUCCUGAACUUACUACGACUUCUGACUGGUUUAACAGUGCUCGGGUACAAGCUGGUUUUGGUUUCCAACCCAAAACUAAUGAAUAUAAGGUGAUCAUAAUGUGGAACAAAUAUGUUAGACGAGACAAUCGUUUGGUGUUUGAGCGUGUAGUGCUCGAGAUACACACGCUCGGAACAUCAUCAUGGAGAAAUGUUGAAGUGGAUCCUCAAAUUUCUUUUUUGAAGCUUUUGAAUCCAACAUGUGUGAAUGGCGCACUUCAUUGGAUUAUAUUUGAAGCUUGGCAACAAAAGUCAAUAUUGUGUUUCAAUUUUGAAAGUGAGAGGUUGCAGUCGUUUCCUUCUCCUCCACAUGUGUUUGGAAAUCAUGAUAAUGGAUUUCCCCAUAGCAUGCCUAUUAGAUUGGGAGAAUUGAAGGGAUUUCUUUACAUUUGUCAUAGAUCGUCUCUCGAGAAUGUUACAAUGUGGGUUAUGAAUGAAUAUGGCAUUGGAGAAUCAUGGACUAUUGUUUACAACAUUGAUACUUCGCUCUUGUACAUUCCGGGCACUUGUGUGGGCUAUCCUUAUCCGUGGCGUUGUAGUUUUUAUUGGCUGUCUAAACACCACGAACCUGAGAAACAUGGGUUCAAAGUUUUUCGAAUUCAAGGGACAACAGAAGUUGAAGUAAUUGAAUAUAUUCCAAGUCUAAUAUCAUUGAACGAUGUCGUGAAAGGAGACAAUGUUGAAGCGUUGAACACCCACUCAUGGUACGAAUGUAAUAUUUUAUUUUGAUUGAGUAAAUGAAUAUGAUUUUCUUUUAGAAAUUACAAUUUGACUCAUAAGACAAAGAUUCAAUGGGACAUAUGUGAAUUUCUUACGUUGUUGUCUAUGUUUUGAUUUCCACUUUUGUGAACAACCAUGCUCUAUUUUUGUGUUGUUUUAAUUUGUUAUAAUUUUAGUCCGUUUUCGUUGCCUUUAAUUACAUAUUAGCUUUGACAAUUGUAAAAAUACAUGUUGACUCAAUUAUUUGUUGGAAAAUGUUGUCAACAAUCGCUCGUUUCAACACAUUAUUACUAACACCAAUUCUCUUAUUCUGUUAAAUGCACAUGGGUCCAACCACUAUAUGCGAGACUUGUUUUCAAAGUGGUAGGUCCUAUAUGUAUUUCACCAAUAAGAGAGUGUAAGUUAGAAAGAGUGUUAAAAUGAGUGUUGUUGACAUUACUCCUAUUUAUUAAUAAUUACAUCUUAUAAAUUUCUCUUAGAAAUGUAACUUGGUCUAACACAACUCUACAAAACCGGCUUAAGAUGUUAGAAUUGUUUUCACAUAUAAACACUUGUUGAGGCCAUCUUUUAUCCGAUGUAGAACUCUUUAGCAAAUUCCUUUAUACUUUUUGGGUUGAUGGACGAGUAGGAAAUGGAUAGUUCUUGUAAUGUUGGUUUUUGGAUCUUCCUUGUUUGUUUAGUUGUGGAUAGUUUCUCAAGACUAUUUUAUCCCCUACAAAUUGUAGUUAUAGCAAAUUUUACUUAACCAUUGUUCCUUAAUUGUUUUAAUUUUUUGUAGGUGGGAAAACGAUAUUACAUGUGGAGAAAAUGAAGUUCUUUCCAUAUCUCAACAUAUUGUUUGAGACUUGGAAAGUACACGUUCUUCACCUGCACUUCUGGUGAAGAAUUUGGUGAAGAGCCUGCUUCCUAAUAAGAGUACGUUUGUUUUCGCAUUGGAAGCCUUUGAUGAAUAAUAUAUGAAUUUCUAUACAACAGGGAGGGUUAAAAGAGAAACUCUUCUAUAGACACAACCACAAAUGAUAAAUAUUUAUUUAAACACGCCCUCAUCAAAUAUGCAAAAGUUAAAAGAGAAUAAAACUAAAUGAUGUUGAUUGAUGUGAUCUAUUUAUUUUUGUUUUAAAUUUUUCCAUUUGAUGUGAGCGCGUCCAAAUAUUUUUCAUUUGUGCUUGUGUUCAUAGAAGAGUUUCCCAGUGGUAAGAGAUAAAAUUCACUGUUCUAUCUUACCAUUCUUUUAAUUAUUACAAUUGUGUUUAACUAGAAAAUGUUGAUUAACUAUUUAGGUUAAAUAAGUAAAUGGUCCCCCUAAAUAUAUCAACAUUUGAUUUUAGUCCUCGAAAAUUUUCCAUCCAUGAAAUUAGUCCAUACUUUUUUGUCAACUCAUGUGUAACCUUCAUGUUUUUUAAUGAAAUUUUCUAGAAAUGGAUUUUUCAAAAAAAAAAAAAAGUUUUUGGCAAAACAUAAAUUUAAUAUGAAUUUUUAUGUUUUUGGUGCUAAAACAUUUAUAACACUCAUGUUUUGUUAAAAAAAUCUAAUUUUUUUUGGAAAAUAUUAUCAUACUUUUUCACACAUUUCUGGAAAAUUUCAUGAAGGUUAAACAUGAAUUGACUAAAAAGUAGGUGAAAAUUUUUGGAGGACCAAAAGCAUAGGAAAUAUUUUAAAAGAACUAAAAUCAAAUGUUGGUUUAUAUAGGAGACCAUUUACUUAUUUAACCCUAACUAUUUUGAUGCAUAGUUUGAAGUUAAUUGUUGGCUCCGUAGAUAAUUACAAAGUUUGGAUGCAAAUAAAUUAAUAAUUCUUGUGUGACUAUUUUCUUCGAGAAAAUAAGUAAUUCUACUCUAAAACAAAACACAUAAUUUGAUUUCCUAUUUUUGUACAUUUUGGAAGGAAGCAAUAAAAAUUAUAUUGGAUACAAUUAAGUUGGUCAAUAUGCUGAAGGCUGGAUAUUGUUACUCAAAAUUUUGUUUAAAUUGACAGGAAAAUUUGGAAAUACAGAAGGCUGGGUAUGUUAUUAAAACGAAGUCAAUCAAUAUGCUGAAGAGAAUUUUUUGAGCUGGAGGAAACAUCCGCAAAGUUUCGGAGCCGUGGAGCUGCAUCAAAGAAUUUUUUUUGUAUGCUUUUGUUAAGUAAUUUUAAACCAAAUAAGGACUGAAUUCUUUGAUGGAUUGGUUACAUGAUGUUGUAUGCUUUUAAAGUUUGUUUUGAACUGCGAUGUAUUGCUGGUUCCUAAUAUGUUUUGUUUGAGUUAAUGUUGAACUCAGUAUACUUCUGUUUUGAACUGUGAUGAAUUGCUGGUUUCUAAUAUGCUUUGUUUGAGUCAACAGAGUUACACAUUUCAAAAUUUCAUAAUCAAUAAGAAUAAUAGCUCGGACUUUCUUCCCUUAACAUAUUAAUAAGAGAGUGUUGGGACAUUGGUAUGAAGUUGAAAGAAAAUUGAAUGGUUGGGAAGAUUAAACACCAAGUCAUGAGAUUUUAACAUAAUGUUGCGUGAAUUAAAAAUCUUUUUAAUUUUUAAAUACUUGAUAUUGAUAAAAUAAUAGUAAUUAUUAUUAUUUUUUAUUCAUGAUGUCACUUUCCAUAACUUUAAUUUAGUUUAUUUUGGUUGUGAUCAAGAUUGAGAAUUUAACUAAGUUUUCUAUUUUUUCUUCAUUCACUUCCAAUUACUUUGUAUCUUCCAUUUUACUGGUUAGUUUCUUUCACAAGUUUAACUAAAUUUGAUUACAAAAUUUCUAUAUAAAUAAAUGACUAUAAUGAGUCAUAAAUCACAUCAAAAUUGUUAAAAAUAAAUAAAUAAAUAAAUCACAUCAAAACAUUAUAUUGAGUUGUCGAAAACUUUUUCUCUCUUCUCCCUCCAACUUGUGUUAACAAGUUAUUCCCUUAUGAAUUAACAAUGCUCUUAAGACCAUGGUCUAUUUUUGGUAUAAUGUUCUUCCGAAAUUAAGAAUGAUUUUAAGAACAUAGUUCAUUCGAUAAUAUAUGUCCUUUCAAAAUAAAGAGUAUUCUUAAAUUCAUAGUCUUUUUCAAGAAUAAUGCCCUUUUGGAAUUCACAAUGAUUUAAGAAUAAUGCCCCUCUAGGGUUAUUGUAUCCUUCUGCAGAAUGUGGAGCUUGGGGAGGAGUAUUUGAACAUAGGUCAUCAUUAUGCGCUACUAGCCCACAUCUAAAACAGAACAUUGGUAGAUUUUCAUAUCUGAAAUCUACCUAGUUAAUUCCAUCAACAUCAUUACCAAUAUACAUUUCAGCCUUUAUAGGGGGAGUUAAUGUCAAAAAGAAUCUUAGCUUUCACUAUCCUAGCACUAUCAUGGUAAUCAUACAAUCCAACAUCCAAAACCUGACCAAUUUGAGACCCAAUUUGGUUACCCAUACAAAUAGAUCUACAGUGAAGUGGGAGGCCCCACAUCUGGACCCAAAGAGGAAUUUUAGAGAAAUCUAGUUCACUAGGAUUAACCUUUCUAUCCCAAGAAUGAAGAACUAACCAGCAGUUGCGUAUUAUCCAUGGAUUUCCUUUUAGAAUUCUUGUCAGAUCUUGUUCUUUAUCCAUAGAUAUCUGAUACAAUUUUCCUUCUAUUUCUGUAAUCUUCAAUCCUGCAGGUUUGGACCAAAUUCCAGCCAUAGAGUUGUGUAAAGAAGGUGUAGGAAUGGAUUUGUCAGAGAGAAUCUUUUCAAUCAAGCUGUUCUUGCAAGUGUUAAUACUUUCUUGGAGAUCAUCUUCUUGAUAAUAGCAAAACGGUUCAGAAUCUGGUGACUCCCCAGGGGGUGAUUCUUGAUGAGAAGGUUGUUGAAAAGAAUCAGUCUGGUCUGGUGCAUACUAGUGUCCACUGGUUGAAUCUUGACCAUCAUGAGCGCCAUGGAUUUGUUGUUGAUAAGAUUGUUGGUUUGUGGAGAAGAGGUUAGGAUUGUUUGUUAUGAUAGGGGUUACGUUUGCAACCUUUUGAAUUUUUGUAGGACGGUGGGAAUCUGGGGAAAGAAUAGGGUGGAGUUGCUGAUGUUGGGAGUCAGAGACGGCUCCAGAAGUGGAAGGGAGAGACAUGAUGAGAUAAGGCAGAGGGGAAGGGAACCACAAUGAGCAAAAGAAAGGAAAGAAGCAAGAUUGGUAACGAUGGUGAGAUGAGAAAAACACGAUUGGUAAUGAUGAUGGGAUGAGCCUAAAGAAGAGGCAAAGGAAAAGAAGACAAAAACCAAGUGAUGAAACUUCCAAGAACAGAGGGAAAAAAAUUCAAUUAAUAACAAAGGGGAAACAUCACAAGAUGUAAAACUACGAAUCAACUAUCAUCAAAAAGGAGAUGAAGGAAAACUGAAAGCCGUUGGUAAAAAUAUUUAGUGGCAUGUAAGUGUUGAUGUUCGAACCUCAAAUUUUUUACUUAUUCACAUUAACGUGUGAAUUUCUUUCUAGUCAAUAUGUUAUUUGAAGAAAUAAAAAAAAAAAUCUAAUCUUCCAUAAAAAAAAAUCUAAUCUUAUAUAAAUAUUGAUACCCACUUUAGUAAUUUUGCAUUCAAAAUCAAUUUUGAUCCAAAUUAUUCAAACAACAUAAAUUUAUUUAUAAGAAUCACUUUUACAUAUUAUAUCCAAACAUAAAUCAAUUUACAUGCAAGUCAUUUUUAACUCAAAUCAAUUAUAUCAAAAUCAAUUCUAUUAACCUCAAUUAUCUCGACGUAGAACCAAACACACACUGAGUAGCCCACAUGGGAAAAAAAGAAGAUGCGACUACUUUUACAAAUGUUAUUAUAAGCAGCGUUCUUUUGUCAAACUUUCUGUUUUGACAUCAUAUACUUGUUAAAAAUUGAAAAACUUCUUGCAUAAGUAAACUACUUUCAACUGCUGGAUCUUGGAUCUUGUAAUUCGUUAUUACUCUUCCACUAGUUGACAAUAUGUGCUUGAGCAAUAGACACAAGGAAAUUGUUAUAUGUACAUCAUCGUCCUAAAGCUUAUAACAAUAUCCCAUUCAGGAUUCAACUAUGAAUGGAAAUGUAUUUCACUUGAGAGAUUGCAGGGAAAAUGUUUCGAAUGAGUAUAGAUUCCAUCAUUUUUAAAAUGCUUCGCAGUGAUUUUUCUACUUUGCUUUUUUAGAAAAUCAUGGCAACAGUUAAAAUUCUUACUGUAAGGAUCAAGUUCAAGACCCUUUUUUUGCAUUAAUAUAUAUAUUAUAAAAACAACCAGAAUUUGUUGGGGUCAUGCUAAAAAGGAAAUUAAAAACUAACUUUUAAUUUUUAUAUUGAAAAGAUACAUUUUUAAGUUUUUGAAAUAUUAAAUACACAAUUUUCAAUAUUAUAUUUUUAUAUAUUUUUUUGGUUUAUUAUAUUUGAUUUCUUAACUUAUGUGUAAGUGUACAAAUCAGCAUUUUCCUAUAACAUUUUGUAUAAGUGAAUUAUCACUUAAUAACACAUUUUCAUGUUAUCAACUUGAAAGUUACAUAAAUAUCUCCCUUAUCAUGUCAUCAGAAUUCAGUCUCAACAUAAAUAAAAAAAAAAAAAAAAAAUCUGGAAAACUAAAAUCGCGGUUAGAAACAUGAGGGCUAAAUUUGUGAAUGAAACAAUAUAGAGGGACUAAAAUGCAUUUAACACACACAACAAAUUUACAUAUCAAUGUCAUACUCUAACAACUUCAUGUAAAUCAAAACUUGAAAUAGAUAGAGGUGUCCCAAUUAAUAAGGAAUGAAGAUGUAGAAUGAAUUAAGCCGAUAGGCAAGUAAAAAGAUGAUCAUCGACAAGUGAGUAUUGAUGAUGAGUGAAGGACAUGGUUUUAACGUUGUCCUUAAUCCUCUCAUUGCUAUUAUUCCAAUGUGAAUGUGUUUGAGAGCCUUUUAUGGAAGCCACCUUAGCUGCAAGUUUUUUCUCAAGUCUUCUCUUUCUAACAUAAUCUUCUGGAAUGAACACAUCCAUCAUAUAACUUUUUCUUCUAAGUUCCAAGAUGAGGUGAAACCUAAUGUAAGUGAAAAUUGGUAAAUGUGUGUAGAGCAUGUGGUGUGAUGAGUGAUGACAAUGUACGAGGAUAUAAAUAAAGGGGACAAGAUAGUGAAAUACUAGGGGCGUUUGUACCAUGUUUUGAGUUAAACUGGGACCUAAAUUUUGGUAUUUCAGUUUGGUAGUUUUGCUCAUAAAAUAAUGGGCCCCUUAGAGUUCCUUUUCGUGUCCAAAUCAAAACUGUUCGAACUUGAACUGUACUUGCCGACUCAAGAAUUAACUUAUCGGUUAUGCUAAUAGUUUUGUUGUGAACAUAGUAUUUAAUUAAUAAAAAAAAUAGUGUAAAGCAUUGUACCCAAAAAAAAUAUAUAUAUAUAUAGUGUAAGGCCCUAAUUUAGUCUUUUAAGUAACAUUAAAACUUUGUAAAAAAAAAAGUAACAUUAAAACAUUCCUAAAAAAAAUAAAAAGUAACCCUAAAACAUCUACAAUAAAGCUACUCCAACUUCUGAAUACUUGGACGGAGAGAAUUGAUAUUUGAACAACCAUUUUUAUAUAACUUUUGUACAAUUUUCUCUCUAUACUCACAUUAUUUUCUUAUUCUCUUUCUUCCUUUUUCUCUCUCCAUUAUUUUUGACCAAUGAAAAGAGAUAACAACAAGGUUGUCCCAAAAAUUGUACUAAAUAAUUGUUUAAAUAUCAUUAUUCUUGGACGGAACUUGCAAAUAUAUACAACUCAUUUAUAUAUUUAAAAAUUAAUAUAAUAAGUAUUCAAUUCUUUUUCCUUAAAAAAAGGUAUUCAAUUCUUUUAAUGGGGAGCACAGCAAAAAAAGAGUUAUUAAAUAGUUUUUAUUAAUAAUUUUAUACUACCAUUAUAUUAUGGAAAUGUUAACAAGUGUCACCGAGACACACUUUAAGACAUUUAAAUAGUACUCACUCCGUUCCAGAAUAGAUGAUCUAGUUGACUCCGUCACAUGUACCAAUAUAUACGCUUUAUCUUUGAUAUCUUCAAUUCUCUACUAAAAAAAAUUAUGAAAACUUAAUAUUUUAAAAAUAUUCAUCGAGACGAAUCCAACAACAUCUUAUAUGAUAUUAUUUAUCUUUGUGAAUUAGUAGAAAAAUAUGGUGAAAGUAUGUUAAGUCAAUAAUGUAUAUUAUCAAAUAUGUCAUCUAUUGAGGGACAGAUGGAGUAAUGUUUUAUGAGAAUUAUUGUAUUUAAUGCAUUGAAAAUUGAAACAAUUGACUUUUUUUAAUGGACAAUUUCUUAAAAUAGAAUGCUUAAAGAGUGCUCAGAGGCACUCGUUAAUAAGACCCUUAUAUUAUUAUGUUCUGCCAUGAGAGUAACGUAUAAAAUAUCAACCCUAGGGUACGAUCAUCCAUACUAAUCUUAUAUCUCAUUAUGCAAAAAAAGAAACAUUAUUACAUCUACUUUUUUAAGUGUUUGGUUUCACUUUUAGAUGCUUUAGAAGUGCUUUUCAAGUUCAAAAACAAUUAUAGUAUUAUAAAAUUAUGUUUGACAUUUUGUUUAGAAAUCAAUUUUAGGUACCAUAAGCAAAUUUACAUGAAGCUACUAUUUAUAGUUUUUUAUUUUUCUUUCUAGAAUUAAUUUUAAAACACAUUUAUAAUUCAACUUGCUUUUACAUAAAAAUUUAUGAAAACACAAAUCAAUUAACUCAAAAUCAAUUAUUGUCAAAGCAUAACCCAACAAACACUAAAUUUUAUACUUUUUUGACUUAAUUACACUUUUGGUCCUUGUGUUUUGGCCUACUCACGAAAUUGAUCAUGCCCUUUUAAAACAUAACAAAACGGUCCUUCAAUUAUCAUUUUUGUUGCAUUUUUCGUCCUACCUCCUAUUUUCAAACUCCAUAAACGCAGAGAAAUGACAGUUUUAGGCGGUUUUAGAACUACCCCUAUGCUCAACCAUGAAAUCAACAAGGAAUAAAACAUGUGGGCACAAGGAAUCUAUUAUAUUCAGCACACUAACAAAAAAAAACCCUAAUUUGAAACAUAUCUUAGAAAUUAGGGUUUUCUUGGUUAGUGUGUUGAAUAAAGUGGAUUCUUUGUACCCACAUGCUUUAUUCCUUGUUUAUUUCAUGGUUGAGCAUAGGGGGUAGGUCUAAAACUGUCAUUUCUCUACGUUUUUGGAGAAUAAAAUGGGGGGUAGGACGAAAAAUGAAACAAAAAUGAUAAUUGAAGGACCGUUUUGUUCUGUUUUAAAAGGGCAGGACCAGUUUCGUGAGUAGGCCAAAACACGAGGACCAAAAGUGUAAUUAAGCCUAUUUUUUUUAGGAAACUAAAUUUCAUACUUAAUCUUUAAAUAUAAAAACACACACAAAAUUACAUAUGAGUAAAAGACAAGCAUGCAAUAAACUCCAAUUUUUUUGGAUUUCAGAACCAAAUAAGACACGGAAAAUUAUUAUCAAUAACAAUAAAGAUACUAAUGAUUAUUUUGCAACAAUUUUAUAUGAAAUUUGUACAUGUCUUUUGAGUCUCCAAAGUCAAUCUUUUACUAUUAAGUUAACCCUUAGAGGGAAAAAAAAAAAAGACUACUUAAGAUUAUAUUUGGAAUUACUUUACUGUUUUCAUAUACUCAAUUUAGAGAUCAAGUGUAUGAAUAAUUGAUACUUGAGAGACUUGCUUUUCUAUGAAGAUAUACUUGAGAUACUAAAUUAAAGGUUUCACUAUGAAAAUAAUAAUAACGAGUUUUUUAAAAAUAACUUUACAUUUAAAUUAUCAACAAAUAUCUAACUUUGUUUUAACAUGAGAAUAGUUUUUUUUUUUAAGCAACAUGAGAAUAGUUUAACAUGACUAAAUAACCAACAUAGAAUAGUGACUAAUUGGUUUUAACAUGUGAUUAAUUUGAAAAAAAAUAAUAAUGAGUUUUUUAAAAAUAGCUUUACAUUUAAAUGAUCAACAAAUAUCUAACUUUGUUUUUUCCUUCAAAAAAAAAUCUAACUUUGUUUUAACAAUGAUAAUAGUUUAACAUGACUAAUUAACCAACAUAGAAUAGUGACUAAUUGGUUUUAACAUGUGAUUAAUUAAUUAGUCACUAUUUCACCCUACAAGUCAAAGAGCCAAGAUUCUUUUGUUUUUUUUUUUUGAGAGAAAGAGCCAAGAUUCUUAGUCGGUAAACAAGAUAAUAUAAUCAAAUCUACCUAUACUAUCAUUGAUUGAUAAAAGAACACGUGUGAUCCCAAUCAAUGGAUGGAUCUAAAAAUUUCAAAAGUUUAGUAUGUGUGAGACUCAAGUGUCAAAUAAUAUGACAGAAAAGCAAUUGGAUUAACUAAAACUGGAUUAAACAUUUUGAAACUCUAUAAAGAGGUUCAAUUUAGUCACGAUUGAAGUGUGAUACGAUUGUGAGAAAACCCUAAUAUUAGCUUGAGUAAAGAAUUUUAGCCAUUGAAACACAAUAAUAAUAACGCCAAAAUGAAAGUGAAGCAUCAUGGUUGCUUACUUAUUUGGGUAAGUGAGGGCAUUACAAACGCGGUAUCAUCAAAAUUAAGAAACGAUGCAUUGUGAUUCAAUUCAAUUCAAUUCAAUGUGCUUGGUAUAUAUCUAUUCAUAUAACCAAUGGAUUGUUGACUGCUGUUUCUUUAUUGUUCCAUUAUAUACAAUUUUCCCAUUUCAAUGUUGUGACUUACGUGCCUGGUGAAUCUUAUGAGUUACUUCUUGUUCGGUAGUUUAAGAAAAUGACAAUAAUCGUUACAUAAGUUGAGAAGUUAAUGUUUGAAUCUCAUCAUCAGUGGCGGAUCUUGAACUUUUUUUCUGGGGGUGCCAAAUAUUUUUAGAAUAUAUAUAUAUAUCAGUUUUAAAAUAUUAGUGAAAUAAUGAAUUAGCCUAGUGGUUUAUUUUCCUGAAACAACUAUAGGGAACGGUGGUUCGAUUCCCAUUAGGACCUCUUUUUUUGAGUAAAGUAUUAAUAAUACAAUUGAAAAUAUAAAAAAAAACAGCUAACGAGGAUCGAACCCACACGCAGCUGGGGGGUUUCGAAACUCACCAAUCCACUGCAAAAACAAUACUCCGUUUGAAUUAUCAUGCAUAAUAUGAUAAUUAUAGUAAAGUUAGGGGAUGCAGUGGCACCUGCCGGUCCCCACCAAGAUCCGCCACUGCUCAUCAUCGUAUUUAAUUUAACAGUUUCGAUAUUUUUAUCAAUUGAAUUAGAAUUUAUACAAAUAAGUUAAUUCCUUUCCUCUGUUUUCUAUUAUUUUAUAUUAUUAUCUCAACCAUAAUUUACUUUUUUUUUUUUAAGAAGCUAAAAUAAAAUUAUAUAGAACCAAACGAUUUUAUUUUCUCUCUACAAAGAGUGCUGGAGAAAAUAAAGAGAAAAAUAUUGUUACAUCAAAUAAAGGUAUAAAACACCAUAAGAAAGCAAAGAGAACCAUUACAUGUAUAAAAGGGGAUUAAACCACCAAAUCGUUCUUGAUUAGAAGGUCUGAUUAAAAUCAUUUUAAAUACAAGUAAGCAUAUCGAAAUGGUAAGUUUGUUCCGCAACGGAAGAAAAAAAUGGUAUUGAUUUUUUUCUUUGGACAAGAAAAUGGUAUUAAUUUUUAUGACCAAAAUAGUAUUAUUUUUUUUUUUUCAGGUAGUCUAUUGGUUAGAAUUUACGGUGAAUAAGUGGGAUGUCCGAAGUUCGAACUCCGGCCCUGCAUAUAAUAAUGCAUUAUUCUAUCAUCUAAGCUAUGCUCACGGCACAUAGUAUUUUUAUUUUACUUGGACUUCCAAAGUGUUCCAAACCAGGAAUACGUUAUGACGCACGAGAAAAUGUAAGCAAGGUGCGUAGCGGACACUUUUCAAUUAUGUGUGCCGUAAAAAUCAUCAUAUUUGUAUAUUUGGAUAAUUUACAAUCCAUCUCUAAAUUUACAUUCUUUCAAAAAAGAUAAAAAAAAAAAACUCUCAUAUUUACAUAAAGUUUUUGGUAAAAGAAAUAAAAUUUACAUAAAGUUGACUAACGCUAAAAUAUCGUCAUGCUAUAUUGAUAGGUUUCACUAUGACUACUAAGGAUAAGCUAAGAGAAUCACUAGGAAUUUGCUGUAAAAUUGUCACUGAAAUAAAUUGCAGAAAGGAAGACAAAUUAUAGAAAAUAAUUCUCAAUUCAUUAUUUAGGGUUGUGGCCAAUAGCCUACAAUAUAUAGUAGUGACACACAUAAAAGAGUUACUUGUAGGGGCCUACUGUUACGGCCCAUACUACUUAGUUAUAAAACCCUUAAGCCACAAAGGCUUCUUGGUCUUCCUUUUGCUAUCUGAACCCACGUGCCUAUCAUAUAUUAUCAUCAUAAAAUAUUAAGCGUGUGUUUGGUUCCACAGUGACAAAAAUUGAUUUUAGUAGAAUUAAUUUUGUAGAAUUGAUUUUAGUUAAAAGUGAGUUGAAUGUAAAGUGAUUUAAGUUUGGAUGUUUUAAGAACAAAAGUGAUUUACAUUAAAGAUGGUGUUUGGAUAGCUUGAAUCAAAAUUGCUUUUAGGUGUGUAAAUUACCAAAAUGGGUUUUAUUAUGUGUGUGUGUAUAUAUAUAUAUAUAUAUAUAUAUAUAUUUAUAUUUACAUAUUUCUCCUUUACUUAUUUUUGAUAAAAUUGACAUUAAAAGUACUAAAUUUGCACAAUUAUUAAAAACGAAGUAUUCAAAUAAAACAAGGGAAUACAUGUGUAUUUUUAUUACAUACUCAUGUUUAUUUUUUUAUUUUUUUUUACGUAUGUUUUUUAUAAUUUUCUGCUUUUGAUUUUUUUUAUUUUUAUAUAUUUAUAGUUAUUUUGCUUUAAUUUAUUAAAUGAAAUGGGCGAUCCACAUGACUCCUUAAAUAAGGAAAAACGACGAGGGACAACACCUCAAGAUGACAAGCCACAGUUAUUUUUUACUUAUGGUUUUAUUAAAGAGGGCAAAAUUGAGAAAUUGUCAAUGAUUGUUUGAGAAUCGAUUGAAGGAACAGUAAAAGUUAGAAAAUGCUGCUUCACCUAAAAUCAAUUCCAAGAUUAAGAAUCAAUUCCCAAGCUGAGAUCAAAACACCCUCAAUUUCAUUCCCAAGCCAGUUAUCACAAUUGCAACAAGUGUGAUCUAAUAUAGACAAAGCUUUUUAUUUUUAGAGAAAAACAAUCAUAUAAAAGUUAUGAGAACGCGGGACAAUAAUACCAUAUAAGUGUAGUCAUUCUAUAUAAAUAUGUAAGUAUCUAUUAACAGUGCAAUAUUGUCCCUGAAGCUCGAUCAUUAUUGAAUUAGAUCGACCAAGAUUGCAAGUAAAAUUGUGCAUAAAACAACCUCUCUACAAGCAGAGAUGCCAUAUGGAAGACCAAUAAAUGUUUGAAAAUUAAAAUUCAAAACUCGGGACUUCAAGGUUACUUGAAAGGAAUUAACAGCUAAUGAAAACAAGAGGGAAACUUAUAGAAAUAGAAAUAAAUAACAAUAUCAAUAUCAUUAGACAUAGUUGUUUUGACAGAUGUCAUAAAACAUAGGUAGUAACUAACUACAGAAAAAUAACACAAGACCGUGAAUAUCCAUCUGCACAUAUUUGUCGUGGCCCAAACGUGAAACUUCUCUACUCUCCUACGUUUGCCAAACAAAAUCCACCCUGUCAAGUUACUUAAUUACCACCACUACUUUGUUAUUUCCAAAUUCCAACAAGGAACCAUUCAUUAUAGUACCAUGUUUCCUCUUUUCUUAGUUGCUAUAUAUAUUCAAUUCUAAAUCAUCAUAAUAUUCAUUCACCUACCCUUGUCAUAACUAAGUUUUCAGGUUGCACUGUGUAUAUAUCCACAGAACAAGUCAUGGGAGAAUCAGAAGGUUCCAGCAUCAACAAAACUGAAUCACCACAGCUACAGUCUCUUCUGGACCCUGUUCCUGAAGAGCUUUCCCCUGUUGUGGAAAAGGAUUCAGAAACUCUAAGCACGAUCAGUAUCAGUCAGGAGCCUAAUCAGCAGGCCAUCUCAACACUUGAUGAUCAGAGUAUUUCUCUCACUUUUCUCUUUGUUUUUUUUUUUUUUUUUGUCUUUUUAGAGAUUAGAACGCACAAGUUAUUUUAUGUUUGUUUAUUGUAAUAAAAUUACUUCUUAAAAAAUUUAAUUAUAAAAGACUAAUAAAAAAAUACCUUUGUAUUUGAAGCAGUUUCUAGAUUUUUUUUUUUUUUUUUUUUCGGACUCUCGAUUUUUUAUUUUUUAAAUUGUAACAAACAAAUGAAUUUUUUUUAAAAAGAUGGUUUGUAUUAAUAAAAAAAAAAAUGUAACAAAGGAGCUCGUGACAUAGAACAGAUAAUUCUAUUUUGUCAAAAUUGUUUAGGUCACUGCAUGAGAUUUUGUAUGCUACUUUGAUUCAUUCAACUCAUCGUAUUUUUCAUACAGAGGUUGCAGAUGAUCAUGCUGAUAAUAAGGAAACAGGGGACCAUGAUGAUAAAAAGGAUGCUAAGGACUCAACUGACAGAGGUUAUUUUCUAUAAAAAGUAGUAUAAAGAUAUUGUAUGCUUAUAUAGAUAUAUUGUAACUAUUUUCUUUUUGUUCCAUUAGAUGCUGGGCUUGCAAAAAUUGUAGCAGAGAAAAGAUUGGCUUUAAUUAAAGCAUGGGAAGAAAGUGAAAAGACAAAGGCAGAAAAUAGGCAAGGACCCAUCUUAUAGAUUUAUGACUAUCUUACUCAAAUAAAAUAUAAAGGGUUAAUAGGUCUUUAACCUCCUGUAAUAUAGAUCAUUUUCGGUUUUUCCCCUGUAAAAUAUAUUUUUUUUAUUUACCCCCUGUAAAAUUUUAUUGUUUUGAUUUAACCCCCUAAUAGGCCAAAUAAAAACGAAAAUUUCUUAAAAAAAAAAAACAAAAUUGGUUUUUGUUUGGCCUAUUAGGGGGGUAAAUCAAAACAAUAAAAUUUUAUAAAGGGGUAAAUCAAAAAAAUAUUUUAUAGGAGGGAAAUCGGAAAUGACCUAUAUUACAGGAGGUAAAGACCUAUUAACCCAAAUAUAAAUUAUUCAAGAGCUUGAUGAAAUGGUCACACAGGGCAUACAAGAAGCAAUCUUCUGUUGGAUUAUGGGAGGAAAGCAAGAAAUCAUCUAUAGAGGCACAACUCAAGAAAUUUGAGGUGAUUAUUAUUUCUUUUUGUUGUAAAUUAGGUAUCUUCGCGCACAAUUGUAUAGACAAAUCUCUCGAGUCUUGUGGAACUCAAAUGUGUGACAAAUUCCUCCCAAAAGUUUUACCGUUGUUAAAUGCUCAAGCUCGGCUCGGGAUCAAACCCUAAACCUUGGUUAGAUUAGAAGAGAUGCGAGUCAUUUCAUCUAAGCGCUCUUGGGUCCCGUAAUACUCAUUUAAUUCAUCAAUGUGACUUGCUUUUAUUUUCAAAUAUCAGUUGUUUCCCUCAUUUGUAACUUACAAAAUUGUUUUAAUUAAUAGGAAAAUUUGGAAAGAAAGAAAGUUGAGUAUGUUUCAAAAAUGAAAAAUGAACUAGCUGAAAUCCAUCAAUAUGCUGAAGAGAAAAGAGCAAUAGUUGAGGCUCAAAAAAGGGAAGAAUGUCUUGAACUAGAGGAAACAGCUGCAAAGUUUCGUAGUCGUGGAGUUGCACCAAAGAAAUUGUUUGGAUGCUUUAGUGCUUAAGUUUUUUUUAAGCCAAAUAAGAAGAAUUGAAUUCUUGAUGGAUUGGUUUUACAUGAUGUUCAAUUAUGUAUACUUUUAAAAGUGUGGUUUUGUUCUUAUAUGUAUUGUUUGAGUUAACAAAGAAUUCCACAUUUGAUAAUCAAUAACAUUUACUACUUUCCCUUUAAUUGUAUCAUUAAGGGAACAAUACCACCUGCAACUCAAACAAACAUAGACUAGCAAGACAUUGGCCAUAAAUUGGAUCAAAUUAAUAUAACAAUGAACAAUGCAAAUUAAUUACAAGUAGAUUGCUAAACUUUUUCAGCAUCACAAUUCUCAAUUAAUAGAUCCUAUUAAUUAAUUAACUUUUGUUGUAAGUAAUAGAUGCAUUUGAUGGAUUGAAUGGAUGAUAGAGAAAUAGUUUAUUUCACCACCCUUAUUCUACACCUAAUUGCUACUCUCGUGAGAUUGGAUUGAAGGGAGUAUACAGGGACGAAUUAAAAAAUAUAUAUUAAGGGCGGCUAAAAUUUAGCACAUAAUUCAUCUGUCCUUAAAUAUAAGACCGGCUAAAUUUCUAGAUACAUUUACUAUUCAUUUUUCAAAUAUACCCUAUUAAUAUUAUCAAUUUGUCUUAGAAUAUGAAAAACAACAUUGAAUGCAUUUUGUAUAUAUAAAGUGUAAUUUAACCACAUUUUUUUUUUUACCGAAACAAAGUUAACUAUUAUCAUUAAUCAACCAAUGGCAAUGUUCAAUACAAGAAGGAUAAAAAUCAAAAAUACGGUGACUAACCGCACUUAUUUUAGAGAAAUUUAUUAGUGGUCCUUGGGUUCUUCGGCAGCAGUGUUACUACUACCUCCUCUGUUCUUUUUUUUUUUUUUUUGUAGAGACCUCCGUUCUUUUUUUACCGUUACCUUUUAACAUUUUACAUAAAUUAAGACAAUCAAUAAAUAUUAUUACAUUUAUGGAGGUUCAUUGGCAGUCCAUACCUGAUUACAUUGUUUGGUUCUAUGUAGUAUCUCAUCGCAAAUUAAUAGCUCAAGUUGAGGGAGAACCACCUAGGCAAGAAAAUGUCAAGGUUAUGAUAGACGAGGAGCAUGAGAGUGAAACUUUGGAUACAUUUCAGCUAGUAUAAAGGGUUAGGACCAUGACUUUGUAUGGCACAGCAAAUGGCACCACUUACGAUGAUCUAUAUAGUACUUUGGAGCAUAUUUCUGAAGAAGCAGAGUUGGUCGCUUAGUAUCUAGUCUCGUAUAGGAGAAGGGUAUUCUAACGACUUCAUUUGUAUUGUAUUUUUUCUUGUAUUUUUGUCAUCAUUAAUGUAUAUCGCAAGUUCACAACAAUUACUAUUUUGAAUGUGUACGAAUAUUGACGUGAUGAAUGAAAUACACAAAAAUUUUAUGUCGUUUCAAUGUUGAAUGAAUUUAAUGUGAUCAAUGUUGAUUGUGUUGUCUUUGAAUGUUUUUAAGUGUAUUUGAAUGUGUUAUAGCAAUGCAUUGUUUGGAGUUAAAUUUUGGUUAAGCCAAGUUUAUGUCGGUGUAAUUUUGUAAAAAAAUAAAUAAAUAAAAAGUGAUCGUGGUGUUUUGGCCCAUGACCCUUUUGUUUAUAAAAUAGAUAAAUUAAUAAAGGAUUUGGGGUUGCCCUUUUAAUUGUUGUUCUUCUACGAUCUCACUCACGCACGCACGUUCCCAGCUUUUGCAAUUCUCCAUUCCGACCUUAGCUAGGUACUUUUGUUUUGAUUGAUUUCUUUCUCGUUAAUUAAUUGUCAUGUUUUUUUUACUUGUUAGUUAAUUUUUAUUUUUAAUGUAAACUCCAUUCAUUUAUUUUCCUUUUUGCAAUUUAGUGUGAUCGGCCAUGAAAAGAAAAAAGGGUUCAAUUACCCCACCAAGGGCUACUAUCCAAAGAUGCAGCAAUAAAUCAAAAUGUCAACAACUUUGCCCUUACUUUGAUAAUCUUCCAUCUCACUUAACUACCCACAUUCUUCUUCAACUUCCCAUUAAGUCUCUUCUCAUGUGUAGAUGUGUGUGCAAAACUUGGAAUACACUUAUUUCAGAACCACAUUUUGCUAAAUUGCAAUUUGAGCGAGCACCAGUUAGUUUCGUGAUUCGAAAUUUAGACAAUAUAGGAGUGUCAAGAAACCUAUACCUUCUUGAGUGCGAAGCUGAAAAGUUUGAGAUUGGAAGCAACAAUCAUGUGAAGCUUGACCCUAUAUUCGAGCUUCCUCUUUGUAAUGACAUAUCAUCUAGGGACAAAAAUGACGCCAAAUUAUAUAAGGUGAUAAAAAAUAAAUCCAAGGAACGUUAUAUUACUUGCACCUCAAGUAGGGACAAGUUUGGCAUUGUGAAUUCUUGCAAUGGCUUGCUUUGUUUAUCUGAAACAUCUAUCGGAAGCCCUUUAGUGAUUUGCAACCCAGUAACGAGGGAAUUCACAAUACUUCCUGAACUUACUACGACUUCUGACUGGU